Molecule: long non-coding RNA, 4206 nt
Organism: Brassica napus (rape)
Lineage: Eukaryota; Viridiplantae; Streptophyta; Magnoliopsida; Brassicales; Brassicaceae
Exons: 2
Source: RefSeq, a predicted model, not a curated record
UAUAAUUAUAUAAAUCUAUUUCAGAUACAUCCAAAUAUCUGAAAUACUUUGGUUCGGAUCGAAUAAGGUUUCGGUUCUCUAAAUACCAAAAUUCUGAAUAAUUCAGAUAUUUAAUUAAUUUUGAUUCGAGUUGAGUACUACUUUUUUGGAUCGAAAUCGGUUCGGUUCUUCGGAUUCGAGUUGUUUGCCCAAUCCUAAAUAGUGAUAUAAAAACAAAUAGCAACAUAUUUUUGAAAAAUAUAUUUGCGCGGACGUGCGGGUCAAAAUCUAGUAAGCUAUUAAAAUUGAUAAUUUUUAUAUAUAUUUCCAAUUGACUAUUUUGAUAGAGGAUUAAGUUUGUACAAGGAUCUAUUGGUGAACCACAACAAUUAAGAUCAAAUCUGAGAAAGCCUAGCUAAUAUGUGUAACAUAUUUUUUUAGCUUUAGAACUCAGAAGUGUUUUAUUUUAUUUGUGUGUGUUUGUGUCAGUGCUGGAUAUGAGAUUUGGAAGGGUGGUUUGAAACAUUUCUUAAAAUUUUAGUUAAAAAAAUAUUUUUUUCAUAAUUUGGAAACCGGUACUUAUGUAAAAACUUCUAAAACCAAGACCAAUGUUUUAUUGGACUGUGUCUAGAUCCGGUCCCGGUUCUUGUGGGGGUUAAAUUUAACCUCUUAAAUUAUACGAAACUGAUUUGUAGCCAAACACAUCUUCACGUAAGAUCAUGCAUGUACUUCUCAAUGUGUUGGUGCAUGUCCCAGAGAUUCAGAUAUAUAUGAAAUGAUCCGAUCUUUUUUGUGGUUCAGUAGUCAAUAGAUUAUCAAUAAAGGACGAUCGCUUACCAAUCAAAUCAUUGAUUUUUGGGUGACAGUCAUCAUAUUCAUAUAUAUGAUUCCAGAAGGUUCUAUAAAUUAAGGACUAAUGUGAAAGCAGACACACAUAUAAACCUUAAUUCCUAACUAGUUUUUAUAACUUAACUAGGUUGCUAUUAACCAAUCGGUAGUAGACUAUUCCAUUUAUUAUUUUGUGUUAGUUUUAUAUAAAUUUCUUUGUUAAUCUAAAAAUUAAAUACUAUAAGAUUUUUCCAGCUAUAGUUUCAAAAUAAUUGCAUGUAGUCGUAUUACGUUGGCACAUGUCGGAGAGAAUGUAUCCCAAUGAGCAGCUACAUAAACGGAUAGGUUCAGAUUUAAAACGGACGGUUGGGCCACCAGCCUUAUAAAAUAUAAGUGGAUUCUCAUAUUACUAAAAGCCCAUGCAUUAGCGAUACGUCCACCCAAAAAGGCGGGUAAUUCCUUUGUGCGAAUCCACUUAAAAGUCGUGUAUCAUUUUCUUCGUGCGUAUGGGGUCCUAUACACUUUACAAUGUUUAUAGAGAUUCGGACACAUAGUUAUGAGUUAUCCCAUUUUAGGUAUUUCAAUUGUCAAUAGAUUAUCAUCUAGAAACGAUCUUACACCUUCCCAAUCCAUCAUUCUUGAAGAUUAAUCGUCAUAUAUAUAGCGGAUUCUAAAAGGUUCUAUGAUCAAAUGCAAAUGUGAAAACAUAUCUUUGUGUUCGUUCAUGUGAAUUACAUGUAUAGUUUUCUUCACAAGUUCUUCUGUAAAUACAAUUUUCUAAUUAUACUUUACUGUUUACAGUAGCUUACACUGUAGCUCUUAUAUACAAGAGUUUCUUUAGCCAUAUAACAAACAAACAUUAUAUAAUAUUCUGAGACAUUGAAAUUUAUAAGAAUCCAAUCAGGAUAAUGCGUCCAUUUCAAUCAAACAUUAUAUAUAUACAAGAUUUUCUUUUAUUUCUCUUAAAAGAAUGAGGGUGAGUUGGAGAAGAAGACAAAGCAUAGGAAAGCUAGUCCAUUAAGUGAAUGGAUUUGAAUAGAUAGAGCAACAUGGAUCUUCUCUACUUUGAAUAAUUGAAAUAGCAUUGUUUUUUUUUUUCAGAUCAAUUGAAAUAGCAUUCUCUUUGCUUUUUUUCCAUUUUUAAUUUUAUUUUAUCUGAUUUUUGCCUUUAGUUUUGUUCUUUUCAGUUUCUGUUAUGGAGAAACUUCUCUUGAGCAGCGUCACGUUCUCUUUAAUUUAUAGAGUUUAUGCAUAUUAAGCUGGGUUUUUUUUGAACAACCAAAGAUUAAUAUUAGACAGAGGAAGCCUUAAAUCCCCAAGUUUGAUAGGAGGGUAGACAAACGGACCUUGGCCAGAGUAUCAGCAGCCCCACUACCGAUUGUCUUCUCGAGUUGGUUGCUUGGAUAAGCACUUGGAGUCUGAACGGAUCCAGAUAUUGGUGUAGUGGAGGGAGGUUGCAUGUAAGAGAGCACCUCGUAUAGCUAGGGCUUCUGCCAUCAGUGCGGAGGAGACAGAGUCUUGUGUCGCCGAGUUCCGAUUGAUCUCCUGGGUCGCUAGAUCAGUGAAGAUCCACGCAAGUCCGGCGUUCUUUGUGUCUGAUUUCCACGCAGCGUCGGUGUAGCAGAGGACAGUCGAGUCGGGGCAGUCGCAAAUCAGAGGAGGGCGACAUAGAGAUGUACUUGGCGGUGGUUUCUUCUGCUGAGCUGCUUCCCAUUCCUUGAUAGCUGUGAUUGUCUUAGCGAUGAUCUCCUGUGGUGUGAAGGAUCUGUCUUAGCAAAUUAAGCUGAUAUGAUAUUGUAAAAUGUACAAAAACAUGUAUUAUGUUUUUAAGUAACCUGUAUGAUGGACCUGAUUUGAAUUGAUGUGAAAGUUACUUUUCUUAGAUAUCUGCUCAAUGUUUUAAAAGAUCAGAUGGUGAAAAGAUUGAAAUUAAAAUAUUGGAUCUAUCCAAGAUUGUUAAUUUGCUAACGAUAAUCACAUGUAAAAGCUGAUCCCAUUUGUUCUGUUUAGCAAAGAGCCUAAAUAAACAUCAUGUUACAUGUGACAUCGGUGUAUAGUGUUUAUUUCUUAGAUAUUAAUCCAAGCCGCAUAGGAUGCCGCAUAAGAUGCCGCAUAGAUAAGUUGAGCUUUCUCAGGUCGACACGUGUCCCGCUUCCACAAAACGCAUCACUUCAUUUAUUCUGUAAUCUGAUGGGCUUAUAGUUGUAUGCAGCCCGAUGGCCAUUGUCGUUAGCCCUAAUUCUAAUGACGCGUCUCUCCUCUUUGUUCUACGGAGGCGCGGGCGCCUGAACUUCUUCCUUUAGAGCAUCAUUAACGGGGGUUCUUACGACGGGGCUCUUAGCGGAAUAUAAGAAUCUGACUCUUAAUUUUUAACUGAAAAUGCUAAGAGUCGGCUCUUAAAUAAGAGAUUUAAGAGCCGACUCUUAACUUUUUCAGUUAAAAGUUAAGAGUCGGGAUCUUAUAUUCUGCUAAGAACCAUGCACUAAGAACCCUGUGUUAAUGAUGGUCUUAGAACACCGUCAACAUCACCUUAGAUGUGAAAAGAACAUCGGGGAAAGCGACCAGCACUAACCUUCUUAACUCACCGUCAAAUCUACGAACCGCGACGGAGCACUGAGCGACUUCACUCCGCAAAAUCCCGAAACCGAAAAUCCUACACACCUUCCCCACUGUCCUCAAACGGGAUCCUCACCUGGAAGGAGCAACGCUGGCUCCCGCUUCUGUGUGGUGACCCGCUCCCCGUAGCUCGCCGGAUCCACCGCUUCUCAUCACGAUCUUAAAGAGAAAGCGAGCAUCCAUCUAGACCUGCACCUCACUAACAGGUCAUGUUGCUUAAUCCAACGAAGUAAACAAGAAAUCGAAGAACCUUCUCUCACAAUUCAAAAUCCAGUUCAAAUAUGAACGGAUUUGGAGCAUCUCUCUCAUAGAGAAUUCAUGGUAAUGUGAAUUUGUUGCACGAGAUCUUUAGGAGACUUUCAGCUAAAGCGAAUAUAAACUCAUAAGUUCUCUUUUACUUGACAUGUUGCAUGAAUUAGCCUCUUCAGUUAGUUCAAAGUGAUUCUCUUCAGAGUGAUAAUAAGUACAUCCCUCAUUCAUCAUAUAAUAUUUUUUUUGGUUGGCCCUGCAAUUUAUAGUAUCUCUUUUCUCAGCUUUCUUGAAUGCUUAAACCUCAAAGCAAAUCUCAAUAUAUACACUAUAACCAAGAGAAGUCGCAAAUCAAUGCAAGGAGUGACAAGACAGUGAGCAUCAGUGAAAUCAAACUAAAUAGUCAGUUUUAGAUUGUUGGAAGGGUAAGUGUUCUCUUAUGUUUAAUAAAGUGACACCUGAAUCUAGAGAUCAAUGAACAUUGAUGAAUAUGAUUCUUGCAAUUCUCUAUUCUAUUAUAUUUUCUCUUAUUUA